This 252-nucleotide ribosomal RNA is filed under the name uncultured Gardnerella sp. Its description in RNAcentral is "partial 16S ribosomal RNA". It matches the Rfam family "Bacterial small subunit ribosomal RNA", at positions 100 to 354 of the family's 1533-position model. Lineage: Bacteria; Bacillati; Actinomycetota; Actinomycetes; Bifidobacteriales; Bifidobacteriaceae. The record is from RNAcentral.
GGGUAGAGUAAUGCGUGACCAACCUGCCCCAUGCUCCAGAAUAGCUCUUGGAAACGGGUGGUAAUGCUGGAUGCUCCAACUUGACGCAUGUCUUGUUGGGAAAGUGUUUAGUGGCAUGGGAUGGGGUCGCGUCCUAUCAGCUUGUAGGCGGGGUAAUGGCCCACCUAGGCUUCGACGGGUAGCCGGCCUGAGAGGGCGGACGGCCACAUUGGGACUGAGAUACGGCCCAGACUCCUACGGGAGGCAGCAGAU